CUGUUUGUGAGUUAUCCCAACAAUACCCAUUGCCAGUCCCAUCAGACUCUGGAAACAGCAGAGUGCAGCACAAAAAUUGCAAAGAUUUAAUUGGCACCUGACAAAGGAUAAGCAAGGUGGGGACCAUGGGCUGCUCAGGCACUUCUGUCUUGCUGCUGUUGGAUGAAAGCACUAACCAGCAUCAGGAACUUUUGCAUGCUGCAUUUUGCAAAUUAAGGUUAUAACUGUGACUGGUAAUAAUAGAUCACAUGACAGUUUUUUCUCAUUUGUUUCCCCCAGCUUUUCUUCUUAAAUGAAAGAACUUCCUCACUCAGUUUCCACUCAGGCAGCAAGCAGCAUCACAUGGAAGGUGUGCUUUGAGAUUGGCAAGCCAGUGCAUAAAAUACCAAACUCUGGAAAUUUCAAAAUAGGAUUUUUUUGCAGUCUAUAAUAGAAAAAUAUUUAUUUAUGCACUUUAAUAAAAAUUUUGCAGAGUUUUAGGUUUGUCUUCCUCAUUUCUUUCUUUCUGCAUAUUUCCUUCUUUUCUGCCACUGGGCAUUGAGUUUCACACUAGUAAGGCUUCAUUGCAUUUCCAUCUCCAUUUUAGAUUUCAAUUUUACUUUUUAUUCCCCUUUUCUCUUUUUAGUAAAGUAAAGCUGUAAACGCUUUAGAAUAUUUAUUUAUUUUCUGAAGUUUCCAUUCCUUUACACAGCUUCAAGAGCCAUAAAUCAAGAGACUUCAGUCUUGUCUCACACUGCUUUUUGUCAUGUCUCUUCUCCCACGACUGUCCAAAAAUGGACGCUGCUGUGGUGGACAAAGAACAGGAAAGAGGGGGCUCUUUUGUGAAUACCAGCACAAGAAGUCUCCUUGCUCCUGGUGAUAUCCCACACCUGCCAUGUGUGGAGCUGGUGCAGUGGAACAAAGAGGAGCCUUUGCAGCAGCCACCCAUCAUGCUACCACUUCACUAUGAACUAAAGAGAGGGGAGGAGCUCUGUGAAGAAAACUGGCAUUUUUAUUGGUUUGGAAAGCACUUAUUCAAAACUAUUAGACUUUGGGUAAAAUUCCAAUAUGCUGGCUGAGAUUAAUUUUAUAUAUUUUUAAGUAAUCUGAUUAUUCCAUUCUUGGCAUGCACUGAACAUGUACUAUGUUUUUCUUUUUCUAUGGUUCUGUUCCUCUCUGAGCUGACUUGUAACUUAAACAAACCUCUUGUAUUUCCCACAAGUAUGCAGUAAUAUAAGUAUGCAGGUCAAGCAACUUUAACAUAAAUAGGAAAAUAGAAAUUAUUUUUCUUACAUGGGACUUGGAAAUGGUGGAGUCUUCAGUCAUGCUCCUUCAGUGGACAAAUAGGACAGACCGAAAUCUAUACUGAAGGGUAUAUUAAAUAUUGGAUUUAUAUCAGAGAGAAUGAGAGAGAGAUCACAGAGUAGCACCCAUGAUGUUUUUGCUAUUACAGCACACAAACUGUAAUGAAAUUAUUUUUUUUAAAUAAAAUUUAAGGUACGUAUUUUAAACUAGAUCA
RNAcentral lists this long non-coding RNA (1498 nucleotides) under Junco hyemalis (dark-eyed junco). RNAcentral describes it as "lncRNA (ENSJHYG00000016336.1)". Lineage: Eukaryota; Metazoa; Chordata; Aves; Passeriformes; Passerellidae. The record is from RNAcentral.